GUAACUUGAUAAAAAAUAAACAAGGAAUCGGCUACAUAGCCUGAGAUUUCGGCCAUUUCUCCCAAAUCAUAGUCGCGUGACGGACGUGUCUGUUGAAGCUCCUCCCGAGGCGGAGGUCUUCACCUCUAUCUCCAAGCUUUCGUUUACCAGACGGACUAAUAAGAAAGAUGAAGAAGACAAACUGUUAAGGCUUCACAAUUACGCUUAGGCCUUGGACAGCUGUAGAACAAAGGUGUGAAGAGACCACAGAGACAAGGAUAAUUGCUUCAAAAGAGUUAUCCACAGCUCAAUACUUCAAUGAAUAUGCUGCUCUUAAAAACCGAAAGGAUAUGUCCUGGUUCAGAGGAGACAUCAAACAUAGCAUGUUUGCUGUUCAUACCACCGUCCACCACCCUUAAGGCUGAAGAACGCAGCAAAAAAGAUUUGACGUCCUUCAAAAGCAGAGACCACGGCCAGUAUUAUUCUUCAUGUCAGAAGUUACUCCGAUAUCUGUACUAUGGUAACAAGUAAGCUAACAAAAUUUCUAUAAUAUGGGCUCACUGUCACCUUUUAUAAUUAUUGUCGGUGAAUCCAUUGAUGCAUGGAUGUUUAAAUUGUAUUCUUAAGUUACUUCUCAUCAAGCAAAAUAUUGUCUAAUAUUACUUUAAUGUGUAAAUUACAUUAGGUACGAUAUAUUCCUGAUAUGACCUACGCAUCAAAGAUAUCGAUGAUCAUAGAUAUUGACAAUUUUUUAACUAAAAAUCAUUUCCAAUUACUGAAAUACUUAAAAUGGCCUUGGGUUAAGACACAUUUUAUUUUGUCUAGUAAGUGUUUUGGGUGUGAUUCUUUGACGGUUUGUAAUGAAGCUCAACCAGAACAUUUUAUAAUAGAAAACGAACAAUAUGUAAAGAAUUUAUUGCACUUUAAUUUUUUUUGGUGUAAAAACUGUUUAGAGUGUAGCAUUUAUGAUCAUUUUCCCGAUGAUGAAUGUGAAUUAUGUUUGAUUUAGAUCUAUUUAAAAGUUUAUAUGACGGUAUUAUUGGGUUGUAUAAAAGUUAGGUCAUUACAUACCUAUUAUCUUAGCUUAUUCUAUAUUUAUUAUCUUAUGUUCUGGCUAAUCAACUAAAAGUAUAAAUUUAUGUAAAGUAACUUGCUAACAUUACAAUAACUGUCAUUUGUUUUUUUAUGUAAACAAUUUAUUAACAAACACAGUUUCUUGAUAUUGUGUACUAGUUUUAAGAUUAAUUCUUAUAACAGAGUAGUUUGUUACCUGAAAUGACUGUAUGGUGUACUGAAUAAAGCUAAUUUCGUAUGUACA
Molecule: non-coding RNA, 1297 nt
Organism: Plutella xylostella (diamondback moth)
Lineage: Eukaryota; Metazoa; Arthropoda; Insecta; Lepidoptera; Plutellidae
Source: RefSeq, a predicted model, not a curated record